AUGGGUCACACUAUCCAGGAGAGUGAGAUGAUAGAUCUACCUCAGCGCCUGCAGGAGCUCCUCUUAAUCCGUCGGUUAAUAAACAACAUGAACGCUGCUGAGGCGGCCAUGACACGUGACUCACAACCCGACGUUAAGAAGCGAACAUGCUACAUCAACGCAGGUCUGUCCCACGGGUGUGACUACAAGGAUCUUGUAGGAGCCAUGGCGGAGAAGAAUUACUGGGAUUCUCUUAAUUCCCCUGGCCGAAGGAGGAGGAGGUCGCUAGAGGACAAUUACCUCACAACUUCCUCUCUGGAGGUUCCCCUCUGAGGUUCAGGGCUGGUUGCUGCUUGUAGGCCUAUGACGGAAAUACAACGUCUGGGUCACCGGUGCCUCCUGCUGCCGCUCAGGAUCUUCACUUAUCAUCAUAUAAAUAAAAAAUAAAGCCAAAAUGAUUCAUAUAUAUGUAAAAAAAAUAUAAUAGACAUUUUUCCCUGUUUCUCUGAGCACAAUGAGCAGAAGAUAAAGGGAAAUAUUAGAAAAAAUGGGUUACAAUAUUUUUGACAAAUGGCGUCGGAUCAAGGUGCCAAAAUCACUGAUUUAACCCCCCAUUCCCACGCUGGGAAAUAAAGGGGCUCUUGAUGCACUUUUUUCUUGACGAAUAAAACAUCUCCUCGACUCAUUAUGCAAAUACGAGCUGAAAAAAUCCUCACAAAAUGUGAAAUAUGGGAAACUAUAUAGAGUUUAGAACACAACUGAGAAAAUAAAUUUGGAUACCAAAGUUUAGUAAGCGAUUGUCAUUUGUUUUCCCCAGGUAUAGUUAAUACAUAGAGGGUUUCAACUCUAUUGUAAUGCUAUUCAAUUCUAAAGUUGCUACUUCAGAGGCUGGAGGAUUUUCAUUGAUUCCCCUUAUAACUGUGUUGAAUUGUACGGUUACGGUUGUUGAAUAAAAUUAAAUUAUAUCAUAUUUGGUCCACCCUGAACCAUAGUACCUGGUCCAUCCUGGGCCAUAGUACCUGGUCCAUCCUGGGCCAUAGUACCUGGUCCAUCCUGGGCCAUAGUACCUGGUCCAUCCUGGGCCAUAGUACCUGGUCCAUCCUGGGCCAUAGUACCUGGUCCAUCCUGGGCCAUAGUACCUGGUCCAUCCUGGGCCAUAGUACCUGGUCCAUCCUGGCCAUAGUACCUGGUCCAUCCUGGGCCAUAGUACCUGGUCCAUCCUGGACCAUAGUACCUGGUCCAUCCUGGGCCAUAGUACCUGGUCCAUCCUGGACCAUAACAUUUAGUCCACCUAUAUACAGGUAUAAAGACCGGAUAAUGGCAGGAUUUCAGCCCAAAAUUAUCAUUUUCACCUAUAAUUUAAGUCCUUCAAAAUUCACAUCAUAAUAACAACAACUGUCAAUGUAUAUUAAAAAAAAAAAAAACGCUACAUUUAGCCCUAUGUAAAAUUUCUCGAGGCUACGAAGAGAUAUAUUGAAAUUCUCGUAUGUUCGUAUCUCUUAAAAAUUUCCUGAUGUUUCUGCCGAUAUAUUUUGUGGAGAUGUUUGUAUAUAACGAAGACCUUGAAAUAUAUUAUAACAGAAA
Non-coding RNA from Cherax quadricarinatus, 1563 nucleotides. The record is from RefSeq and is a predicted model, not a curated record. Lineage: Eukaryota; Metazoa; Arthropoda; Malacostraca; Decapoda; Parastacidae.